UGGGGAAUUUUGGACAAUGGGCGAAAGCCUGAUCCAGCAAUGCCGCGUGUGUGAAGAAGGCCUUCGGGUUGUAAAGCACUUUUGUCCGGAAAGAAAUCCUUGGCUCUAAUACAGUCGGGGGAUGACGGUACCGGAAGAAUAAGCACCGGCUAACUACGUGCCAGCAGCCGCGGUAAUACGUAGGGUGCAAGCGUUAAUCGGAAUUACUGGGCGUAAAGCGUGCGCAGGCGGUUUGCUAAGACCGAUGUGAAAUCCCCGGGCUCAACCUGGGAACUGCAUUGGUGACUGGCAGGCUAGAGUAUGGCAGAGGGGGGUAGAAUUCCACGUGUAGCAGUGAAAUGCGUAGAGAUGUGGAGGAAUACCGAUGGCGAAGGCAGCCCCCUGGGCCAAUACUGACGCUCAUGCACGAAAGCGUGGGGAGCAAACAGGAUUAGAUACCCUGGUAGUCCACGCCCUAAACGAUGUCAACUAGUUGUUGGGGAUUCAUUUCCUUAGUAACGUAGCUAACGCGUGAAGUUGACCGUCUGGGGGAGUACGGUCGCAAGAUUAAAACUCAAAUGAAUUGACGGGGUCAUAGCUGUUUCCU
This 586-nucleotide ribosomal RNA is filed under the name uncultured bacterium. Its description in RNAcentral is "partial 16S ribosomal RNA". It matches the Rfam family "Bacterial small subunit ribosomal RNA", at positions 355 to 1375 of the family's 1533-position model. The record is from RNAcentral.